This 292-nucleotide long non-coding RNA is filed under the name Cucumis sativus (cucumber). RNAcentral's name for it is "long non-coding RNA (CSAT_LNC001677)". Lineage: Eukaryota; Viridiplantae; Streptophyta; Magnoliopsida; Cucurbitales; Cucurbitaceae. The record is from RNAcentral.
AAUAAUUCAUUGACUGCUCGUAAUUUACAGAACAAGUGAAACCAAUAACCAAAUUAAUAAAUUCAACAUUUGAUUAUUGGCCCCAGAAUAAUCUCAAUUCAACUUAUCCAAAGUUGAGAAACCAAUUCAACUUUGAUUCGCAAACUUCAGGACUCAAAAACCUCCUACUAAAAUUUAGUCAAUGUUUUUUUAAACCAAAAACAAAUAUUUUAUGGGCACCAUCAAACUCUCAAGAAAAGUGGCUCAAAGGGUUGAAAAGAGAGCCGUAGCUCACUGGCGGCUCGGCUUAAAG